GAAAAUUAAGGGCCCGCGGUAUUUUGACCGCGGCAAAGGUAGCAUAAUCAUUAGUCUUUUAAUUAAAGGCCUGGUAUGAAUGGUUGAACGAGGUGCAAGCUGUCUCAUUUAAAGCAUAAUUGAAUUUAACUUUUUAGUGAAAAGGCUAAAAUAAGAUUGGAGGACGAGAAGACCCUAUAGAUCUUUAUGGUGGAUGAAUUUAGAAAAUUUGGGGGAAGCUUUAUUAGAUUCARAAGCUAUUUUGUUGGGGUGACAGGAAAAUAAAAUUAACUUUUCUUUAUGGGUUACACAGAUUUGUGAUUAUUUGAUCCGUUAAACGAUUAUAAGACUAAGUUACCUUAGGGAUAACAGCGUAAUCUUUCUUAAGAGUUCUAAUCGACAGAAAGGAUUGCG
This 393-nucleotide ribosomal RNA is filed under the name Isonychia sp. BYU IGCEP142. RNAcentral describes it as "partial 16S ribosomal RNA". It matches the Rfam family "Bacterial large subunit ribosomal RNA", at positions 1919 to 2522 of the family's 2925-position model. The record is from RNAcentral. Lineage: Eukaryota; Metazoa; Arthropoda; Insecta; Ephemeroptera; Isonychiidae.